UACAGAGGGUGCGAGCGUUAAUCGGAAUUACUGGGCGUAAAGCGCGCGUAGGCGGCUUUGCAAGUCGAGUGUGAAAUCCCCAGGCUUAACCUGGGAACUGCAUUCGAGACUGCAUAGCUAGAGUAUGGGAGAGGGAAGUGGAAUUUCAGGUGCAGCGGUGAAAUGCGUAGAUAUCUGAAGGAACAUCAGUGGCGAAAGCGACUUCCUGGACCAAUACUGACGCUCAUGUGCGAAAGCGUGGGGAGCAAACAGG
RNAcentral lists this ribosomal RNA (253 nucleotides) under uncultured bacterium. Its description in RNAcentral is "partial 16S ribosomal RNA". It matches the Rfam family "Bacterial small subunit ribosomal RNA", at positions 524 to 776 of the family's 1533-position model. The record is from RNAcentral.